UCCUUCCCUUCUCAUGCCUUUUGUUUCUGCAGACAUGAGCAGAGCUCCCAGGCAAUGAUUUUGGGGCUGACGGUGCAGUGCUGCCUUGGUACCACCCAUGCUGAGAUGCCCAAGCUCUUGUUGGCUGUGCCAUCCGAGUGAUGCCAAUGAGCUCUCAUAUCUCAUGGAAGAUGUUACACUUAAUAAAACCGCAGCAUGGGAGAGCGUGAAAGCUGGCUGUGCCGUGCAGCCGAGGCCCCAGGGAGCCCGAGGAGGAAGGGGGGAGCCGAGGUGGGACCGUGGGGACGGCAGAGCACUGAUGGGCCCCGGAGGCACCAGCAACGCUGCUGUUUGCCGUGCUAUUUCGGGAAGUUCUCGUAAGGCUCUCUCCCAGACUGCAAGUUCACGGGGAGGAGGUGACCUUCAGCGUUUCUUGUUUUGCCCUGGAUCUGGCAUGCCGGGGGCCUGCCUGUUUGACUGGAGCGCCUGGGUACUGUAAUCAAAAUAAAUCAUCCUUAUCGUCGCGGGCGGCGAUGCCG
RNAcentral lists this long non-coding RNA (518 nucleotides) under Anas platyrhynchos platyrhynchos (common mallard). Its description in RNAcentral is "lncRNA (ENSAPLG00000017292.1)". The record is from RNAcentral. Lineage: Eukaryota; Metazoa; Chordata; Aves; Anseriformes; Anatidae.